Molecule: long non-coding RNA, 1084 nt
Organism: Brassica napus (rape)
Lineage: Eukaryota; Viridiplantae; Streptophyta; Magnoliopsida; Brassicales; Brassicaceae
Exons: 5
Source: RefSeq, a predicted model, not a curated record
GUCCUCCUGUCUCUCUCUUUCUCUGCUUCUCCUUCCGUCUUUCGUCUUCUUCGCGUUUUGAUCUGAAAUCAAUUUUUUUUUUCUUCCUCCAAUCUCGAUUUCUCUCUUCUCUUUGUCGUUGCGUAAGGACAACCGUAUCUAAGGAUCGAUCUAGGGUUUCCCCAGCAAUGUCGCGGCGAGGCGGUGGACCCGUGAUGGUGUUGAAUGUGGCGGAGAAGCUGUCGGUGGCGAAAUCCUGCAGGUGGCACUUCUGCAAUCUCCUCAAUCACCUCUCAUUGAAGCCGCAUUGAUGGAGAGGAUCUGUACCAAGCUCCGGUCAUGAAACACGUCCCCGAGGAUAAGAAAAAUAUCAAGAAGACAUAGGAGGAGGAACUAGGAGAAGCGAUUGGCUAGUGCUGUGGCUUGAUUGUGAUAGGGAAGGUGAAAACACUGCAUUUGAAGUUGUGGAUGUUUGUAGAGCUGUGGAUGUUUGUAGAGCUGUGAAACAUAAUCUGUAUAUACGGAGGUCUCAUUUCUCUGCGUUAAUUGACAGGUUAGAGUAGGGGUGGGCACUUUACCCGAUAUCCGAAGUGGCACCCAAACCCGAUCCGAAAAACCCGAACCGAAAUUCGAACCGAAGUAGCAGAAUAUCCGAACAGCAGUUCAAAAUCUCAGAGAGAAGAGCCUAGUCAGUUGUUUGUUCGGGUUGUUGAUGCUAGACAAGAGAUAGACCUACGCAUUGGUGCUUCUUUCACUAGAUUUCAGACUAUGCUUCUGAAAGAUAGGUUCUCCAUUGACUCCACGGGCGAUAAAGAGAGGAGUCGUGUAAUAAGUUAUGGUCCCUGUCAGUUUCCUACACUAGGAUUAAUUGUAGAGAGAUACUGGGAGAUCCAGGCACAUGAACCAGAAGAGUUUUGGACAAUCAACUGUUCUCACGAAUCAGAAGAUGGCCUUGCCACCAAAGCAGAGAACAAGUAUGUCAUGUUUUACAAUCUUUUUAUAGGUUUCUUUAGUUUGAUCUGCUAAACAAUUGAAACAUGGAACAAAGUUGAGAAGAAGAUGUCUGUUAAAAAUUGCUAAUUAUAAAUUUCUAUUUAAAUUUUAU